CCGCCUCGCUCCAACUCCUUUCUUCCCUCUCCUUGGCACAAAACUUUUCGGGUUUUCAGCCUAGGGGUGGAGAUUUUUGGAAAAUUUCUGUCCAACGGGCGAAGCUGCGGGGGGGCGGGGGCGCUGCCGGGAGAUGGGAUCCGCCGGCUCCGCCUUGGACGCGAGAGGGAAAAAAAAAGAAAAAAAAAAAAAGCAAUGAGGACUCACGCUGGAAGGCAGGGCUCCGAUUUUAGCAAGAGCCUUGGCCCCUUCUCAGCGUAAGCUUUGUGCUCUUUGGAGAGUUAAGGUGUGUUUUGUGUUCUUUGCUUUUCACGUGUCAGAGUUGGAAGUUCAUCUAACGGUGUGAAAUAUUUAUUAUGUUUCUUUUCUUUCCAGUUACAUAACUGCUGCCUGUGGAGUUUUCCACAUGUUAAAACUCUACAGCUGCCCUUUGUCAGGUUUAUUUUUGGUCUACUGUGCUUUUAAAAGGGAAACCCAUUAUGAAUGCUCUGUUGCCUGCUUUAAAAUUGACCUGCACUUAUACUGCACACACUCCAAGGGCUAAACAGACAAUUUUUCUAUUUGCUCCCAGGGACCAAAAAUGUCUGGUGCAUUCAAGAAUAGUGACAGGUCUGGAAAAAGGCCAUUCCCAAGAGAAGAAAUUGUGAUACAUCAGUUUUUCAAAGGGAACUCUGCCAUCUCACUCAACAUCUUGGAUCUGGGGCAGUACAGCCCAGAAGAGAGGAUACUGAAAGAAUUUGGGCAAGAUUCAAUGAUUCCUCCAUUUGGUCACUGCUCUCCAGAACACUCCUAAUGAUAAUGAUACUGUAUUAAUUGUUCACAUUUAUUAAGCACUACUUAUGCCUGGCACUGUGCAAAGCCCUUCAUAGGUGUCACCUAAUAAACAACUUUGGGAAGAGGG
This is a long non-coding RNA of Felis catus (domestic cat), 901 nucleotides long. RefSeq lists it as uncharacterized. NCBI's taxonomy places the organism in Eukaryota, Metazoa, Chordata, Mammalia, Carnivora, Felidae. The record is from RefSeq and is a predicted model, not a curated record. The transcript has 2 exons.